GACGAACGCUGGCGGCGUGCUUAACACAUGCAAGUCGAACGCGCCUGUCCUCUGGGUUUCUGGGGGGUGGGUGAGUGGCGAACGGGUGAGUAACACGUGAGUAACCUGCCCCCUUCUUCGGGAUAACGGUCUGAAAGGGCUGCUAAUACCGGGUAUUCACUGGUCUCCGCAUGGGGUCUGGUGGAAAGGUUUUUUUCUGGUGGGGGAUGGGCUCGCGGCCUAUCAGCUUGUUGGUGGGGUGAUGGCCCACCAAGGCUUUGACGGGUAGCCGGCCUGAGAGGGUGACCGGUGACAUUGGGACUGAGAUACGGCCCAGACUCCUACGGGAGGCAGCAGUGGGGAAUAUUGCACAAUGGGCGCAAGCCUGAUGCAGCGACGCCGCGUGAGGGAUGGAGGCCUUCGGGUUGUGAACCUCUUUCGCCCGUGGUCAAGCCGCGACGUGGGUCGUGGUGAGGGUAGUGGGUAAAGAAGCGCCGGCUAACUACGUG
This 488-nucleotide ribosomal RNA is filed under the name uncultured bacterium. RNAcentral's name for it is "partial 16S ribosomal RNA". It matches the Rfam family "Bacterial small subunit ribosomal RNA", at positions 28 to 507 of the family's 1533-position model. The record is from RNAcentral.